CCCUUAGAUGUCCUGGGCCGCACGCGCGUUACACUGAUGCAUUCAACGAGCUUAUAACCUUGGCCGAGAGGCCUGGGCAAUCUUGUUAACGUGCAUCGUGAUAGGGAUAGAUUAUUGAAAUUAUUAAUCUUGAACGAGGAAUUCCUAGUAAACGCAGAUCAUCAAUCUGCAUUGAUUACGUCCCUGCCCUUUGUACACACCGCCCGUCGCACCUACCGAUUGGAUGGUCCGGUGAAGCCUCGGGAUUGUGGUUCUUGCCGCUUUAUUGUGGCGUGACCGCGAGAACUUGUUUAAACCUUAUCAUCUAGAGGAAGGUGAAGUCGUAACA
RNAcentral lists this ribosomal RNA (328 nucleotides) under uncultured eukaryote. RNAcentral's name for it is "partial 18S ribosomal RNA". It matches the Rfam family "Eukaryotic small subunit ribosomal RNA", at positions 1470 to 1796 of the family's 1831-position model. The record is from RNAcentral.